CCUACGGGAGGCUGCAGUGGGGAAUAUUGCACAAUGGGCGCAAGCCUGAUGCAGCCAUGCCGCGUGUGUGAAGAAGGCCUUCGGGUUGUAAAGCACUUUCAGCGGGGAGGAAGGCGUUAAGGUUAAUAACCUUGUCGAUUGACGUUACCCGCAGAAGAAGCACCGGCUAACUCCGUGCCAGCAGCCGCGGUAAUACGGCGGGUGCAAGCGUUAAUCGGAAUUACUGGGCGUAAAGCGCACGCAGGCGGUCUGUCAAGUCGGAUGUGAAAUCCCCGGGCUCAACCUGGGAACUGCAUUCGAAACUGGCAGGCUAGAGGCUUGUAGAGGGGGGUAGAAUUCCAGGUGUAGCGGUGAAAUGCGUAGAGAUCUGGAGGAAUACCGGUGGCGAGGGCGGCCCCCUGGACAAAGACUGACGCUCAGGUGCGAAAGCGUGGGGAGCAAACAGGAUUAGAUACCCCAGUAGUC
This 465-nucleotide ribosomal RNA is filed under the name uncultured Klebsiella sp. RNAcentral describes it as "bacterial SSU rRNA". It matches the Rfam family "Bacterial small subunit ribosomal RNA", at positions 338 to 795 of the family's 1533-position model. The record is from RNAcentral. Lineage: Bacteria; Pseudomonadati; Pseudomonadota; Gammaproteobacteria; Enterobacterales; Enterobacteriaceae.